UCGCGGCUUAUCACCGGCAGUCCCCUUAGAGUGCCCAACUAAAUGAUGGCAACUAAGGGCGAGGGUUGCGCUCGUUGCGGGACUUAACCCAACACCUCACGACACGAGCUGACGACAGCCAUGCAGCACCUGUCUUGGGGCUCCCGAAGGCACCCUCUCGUUUCCGAGAGGUUCCCCAGAUGUCAAACCCAGGUAAGGUUCUUCGCGUUGCUUCGAAUUGAACCACAUGCUCCACCGCUUGUGCGGGCCCCCGUCAAUUCCUUUGAGUUUUAAUCUUGCGACCGUACUCCCCAGGCGGGAUGCUUAAUGCGUUAGCUGCGCCACUGACGAGUAAACCCGCCAACGGCUAGCAUCCAUCGUUUACGGCGUGGACUAC
RNAcentral lists this unclassified non-coding RNA (376 nucleotides) under uncultured Alphaproteobacteria bacterium. RNAcentral describes it as "contains 16S-23S intergenic spacer region". Lineage: Bacteria; Pseudomonadati; Pseudomonadota; Alphaproteobacteria. The record is from RNAcentral.